Molecule: ribosomal RNA, 404 nt
Filed under: uncultured bacterium
Lineage: Bacteria
Description: bacterial SSU rRNA
Rfam family: Bacterial small subunit ribosomal RNA
Source: RNAcentral
UGAGGAAUUUUGCGCAAUGGGGGAAACCCUGACGCAGCGACGCCGUGUGCGGGAUGAAGGCCUUCGGGUUGUAAACCGCUGUUAACAGGGAAGAUGAUGACGGUACCUGUGGAGAAAGCCUCGGCUAACUACGUGCCAGCAGCCGCGGUAAGACGUAGGGGGCGAGCGUUGUCCGGAAUUACUGGGCGUAAAGGGCUUGUAGGCGGACAUAUAAGUUUUGGAGUAAAGGCUUGGGCUCAACCCAAGUAUUUUCCAGAAUACUGUAUGUCUUGAGGACGGAAGAGGAGAGUGGAAUUCCUGGUGUAGCGGUGAAAUGCGUAGAUAUCAGGAGGAACACCGGUGGCGAAGGCGACUCUCUGGUCCGGUUCUGACGCUGAGGAGCGAAAGCUAGGGUAGCGAACGGG